Molecule: non-coding RNA, 111 nt
Organism: Acanthosepion pharaonis
Lineage: Eukaryota; Metazoa; Mollusca; Cephalopoda; Sepiida; Sepiidae
Source: the annotation of a GenBank genome assembly
UAUGACCAUAUCACGUUGAAACAUUGGUUCCUAUAUUAUCACUGAAGUUAAGCAACGUUGAGCCUGGUCAGUAGCUAGAAGGGUGACCACUUGGGAAUACCAGGUGCUAUA